UACGGGGGGAGCAAGCGUUGUUCGGAUUUACUGGGCGUAAAGGGCGCGUAGGCGGUCAGCACAAGUCAGUUGUGAAAUCUCCGGGCUUAACUCGGAAAGGUCAACUGAUACUGCGGGGCUAGAGUGCAGAAGGGGCAACUGGAAUUCUCGGUGUAGCGGUGAAAUGCGUAGAUAUCGAGAGGAACACCUGCGGCGAAGGCGGGUUGCUGGGCUGACACUGACGCUGAAGCGCGAAAGCUAGGGGAGCGAACGGG
Molecule: ribosomal RNA, 254 nt
Filed under: uncultured bacterium
Lineage: Bacteria
Description: partial 16S ribosomal RNA
Rfam family: Bacterial small subunit ribosomal RNA
Source: RNAcentral